GGAGGCUCCCGAGAAGGCCCCGGAACGUGCUGGAUGAUGCUGGAACGUGCUGGAACACUCUAGAAGGCUAUUAUGACGGUCAGCGAGUGUCAUGAAAGGUCUAGUCCUCUCUAGAAUGUUCUAGGCUUCCUUGUUAUGUACCAAAUGAACUUGUAAUCUCUAGAAUCUCCCUUGGCCGACCUUCUAAGGCCCAAGGUCGGUGGGGAUGGUCUAUAAAUACUUGGGAGGGCCUCAUUUGUAUCAAGCCUUGCAACCUUGCAUCUUGGCAUGUCUUAGCCAAGCAAGGUCACCUUGCCACCCAAAGUCUCCUUGCCCAUGGUAUCCCCAUGACAAGAAGACAGCAUAUUUGUACCCAAAUAUGUAUUCAUCUAUUGUUGGAAUGCAAUGUAUCAUUCCAAAGACGUAUCCAUCCAAACUCCCUCAUCCUUCCAACCUCUCUCGUGUCUUGCAACCAACCUUAGUACUUCCGCUGCAACCCGUUGUCGUAGUGCUUGGCGCACUACCCCUUCCGGGAAAGGCUUACUUGGCUACGUGGGCAUUGUAGUUAGCCAAGUGCCGCACGUAUGGUUAGCUUCAGAUCCUAACCACGUGACAUGAGGCAUGCAUACUACCAAAUAUACUAUAAAUAAACCAUAAUUCUUUUUUAAGAAAUUAAACAACUAAUUAAAUAUAAAGAAGAAAGAUUAGAAAAUGAAUGAUCAAACAAACUAUGACUCAUUUAUUUUUGACAGGUUCGGCCAGUAUCACCUGACAAUUCAUUUUCACCAAGAAAAAUAAACAUGAGUAGCCUUGGAAUCAAGUUCCUCCGAUAAAAGCCACGGAGUUAAUGGGUUAGAGACAGAACCAGAAAUUUGAGUUCAACGAUGUGGAUGGAAAAUUCUGAAACUAGGAGCAACAGGAAGUUAAGACAACAAAUUAUUUUUAAUAUAGAAAGGGUAAUUGUAAGAAGUUGUUAAUGAAGUGUCCAAAUGCAUUAUGGUAAUAUUGGGUGCAGAAUGUUUGGUAGUUUUAUCCGUGUGCUGUGAAGCACCACAGAGUUGAAGCAUAUGAAACCAGUGUUUAUCUGACAAAAAAUAGUGUCAUAAUCAUUGCCUUUCCAUUCCAUAAAUUUAUGGAUAGCAGAAGAAAGAGAACUCUCAACACUUGAAUCACCAUAUAGCAGUCUACAUCCGGGUGGUGCCUUGAUUUUUGAAGAUUUAGUUAAAAGCAGUGAUAAAAUUGGUACAUAAAUUACAGUGCAUUUCUCGAUAUGCAACAACAUUAAGAGCAACUUAAAGACAACAGUCAUCAAGAAAUCUAGUAUUUAAAAUGUACAAAGAGCAGUAGUAAACAUAUGUAUUUUAUGGCUGACUUUAUCCAUAAUAAAUGUUGGAUUAAAUCAUCAAAAUAAAACACAAACAGAUAAUUAUCGAGUUUUUCAAUGGAGGAUAGAGAGGAAGACAUGCAUGCACAACUACUAGAUCUAUAUGGUGCCAUACUGC
This 1481-nucleotide long non-coding RNA is filed under the name Cucumis sativus (cucumber). RNAcentral describes it as "long non-coding RNA (CSAT_LNC002989)". Lineage: Eukaryota; Viridiplantae; Streptophyta; Magnoliopsida; Cucurbitales; Cucurbitaceae. The record is from RNAcentral.